This is a long non-coding RNA of Strongylocentrotus purpuratus (purple sea urchin), 1040 nucleotides long. RefSeq lists it as uncharacterized. NCBI's taxonomy places the organism in Eukaryota, Metazoa, Echinodermata, Echinoidea, Camarodonta, Strongylocentrotidae. The record is from RefSeq and is a predicted model, not a curated record. The transcript has 2 exons.
CUUAUCCCUUUAAUCAUGAACCGCUCCCACUAUUACCUUGUCUGUGACCCAACACGGUUUAACAGAAAUUCAACAGCUGCACAGGCUGUGAUCAUAUCUCUUCAUUACCCAACUCUCCUCUUAACCCGUAUCACAAACUGCAUUCUGCCAUCGGGGCGUGUUAAAUUGGCGCCUCCGUCGCGGUCCAGAGAAAUGGCCACCAGUCUGUAAACGCAUUUAACCGAGGGUAGCAACUUCUCGGCGGGGAAUUACAAACGCUAGCGCAGAGAGUCGGGCAGAUUGGAAUGGGAGAUUCCGUAUGACUGACUGAGCCAGGCUCGCUCGAGUGGGGUGCUUGUUAAAUGCAUUUAGCAAUCGGAGCGUGUUGGGUUCCCUCUCUACGAGCGUCGCUCGACCGCUUUUUUGUGUGGAGAUCUUCGGCUAUAUAGAAUACCACAAACGCAUUGUUUUUGUCGCCUGAAAGCUUCAUAAACUGGAUUUUUGAGCAUUUCCGAGGUGAAGUCAGCCCUGAGUCAUUCAUAGGGAGGAAUUAUAAUCAAUAUACGCUCAAAUCUGACGGUACAUACUCAAAAUUACCGAGGAAUUAUUAAAAAGGAAUCAUGUAAACAAUUGUGUUGUGAUAACUUAUACGCUGUGAAUUAUCCUCUGGAUUAUAAUUCGGAUACUCAUAAAAAGGCUACAGGUGAUCCGUGGUAGGCUUGAGCGUCCAGUCGUUUAAACGGCUCACGACCUUCGUCUCUCACAGGGGCCUAAAAUCUACGAUCAUUUUCCAAGUACUUAAGUCGGAUUAAUCAUUUGGAUAUACAUCACAGUUCGUGAUUCCUUUUACCGGCAUUGGAAUCCUUCCUCGACCUUUGACCUGGAUGACGUAUGGAUGGAGAAGUUGCGCAUGAGAUAGUUUGGAGAAAAAGCUGUCUCUGAAAAUUGAUUUGUGCUAUGGAAAAUACCAUAUAGAAAUGCAGUUUUUCUAACAAGUCAUCGGGUAUUUUGCAUUUGGAUCAUUGACAACUUGUAAGAUUGGAAUCAUAUUUUUAGAAGAA